This 439-nucleotide ribosomal RNA is filed under the name uncultured bacterium. Its description in RNAcentral is "partial 16S ribosomal RNA". It matches the Rfam family "Bacterial small subunit ribosomal RNA", at positions 339 to 795 of the family's 1533-position model. The record is from RNAcentral.
CUACGGGCCGCUCCAGUGGGGGAUAUUGCACAAUGGAGGAAACUCUGAUGCAGCAACGCCGCGUGAAGGAAGAAGGUUUUCGGAUUGUAAACUUCUAUCAGCAGGGAAGAAAAUGACUGUACCUGACUAAGAAGCCCCGGCUAACUACGUGCCAGCAGCCGCGGUAAUACGUAGGGGGCAAGCGUUAUCCGGAAUUACUGGGUGUAAAGGGUACGUAGGCGGUUCAUUAAGUCAGAUGUGAAAGCCCGAGGCUCAACCUCGGGACUGCAUUUGAAACUGGUGAACUAGAGUACAGGAGAGGUAAGUGGAAUUCCUAGUGUAGCGGUGAAAUGCGUAGAUAUUAGGAAGAACACCAGUGGCGAAGGCGGCUUACUGGACUGUAACUGACGCUGAGGUACGAAAGCGUGGGGAGCGAACAGGAUUAGAUACCCGGGUAGUC